Molecule: ribosomal RNA, 459 nt
Filed under: uncultured bacterium
Lineage: Bacteria
Description: partial 16S ribosomal RNA
Rfam family: Bacterial small subunit ribosomal RNA
Source: RNAcentral
CCUACGAGUGGCAGCAGUGAGGAAUAUUGGUCAAUGGCCGGAAGGCUGAACCAGCCAAGCCGCGUGAAGGACGAAGGUGCCAAGCAUUGUAAACUUCUUUUGUCAAGGGACAAAAUCAGGCUCGAGAGCCUGACCGAGGGUACUUGAAGAAAAAGCAUCGGCUAACUCCGUGCAAGCAGCCGCGGUAAUACGGGGGAUGCGAGCGUUGUCCGGCUUUAUUGGGUUUAAAGGGUGCGUAGGCGGGCCGUUAAGUCAGCGGUAAAAGCCCGGGGCUCAACCCCGGCGAGCCGUUGAAACUGGCUGUCUUGGGAUGUCGAGAGGUAUGCGGAAUUCGCAGUGUAGCGGUGAAAUGCUUAGAUAUUGCGCAGAACUCCGAUUGCGAAGGCAGCAUACCGGCGGCGAUCUGACGCUGAGGCACGAAAGCGUGGGUAUCGAACAGGAUUAGAUACCCGGGUAGUC